AUGGGGAGAACAGACUCCCCCCUGGCUGGGCUGGGUAAGUGCCAGCACUGUCUCCAACACACUGUGCAAGCUCUACAUGUGACCGGCUGCCCCUCUGGGUCUGUUUGCUCACCUAGGACAUGGGGAGAACAACGCCCCCCUGGCUGGGGCAUGGAGACCCAAAGGAGACGGUGUGUCAAUGCCGAGCGCGGGCGAGGGGCCCCAAGGGGCUCGAGACAGAGGCUGCAUCUUCACUGCUUCUCUGCCGCGUCCAGGCCAGGCCCCCAGCAUCGCUCACUGGCUCUCCUGCAGCCGCGUCCAUCCUUGACAUGCGGCUUCCACCGUCUCCCCUUCAACCGCCCAUUCUCCGCACGGCCGCUAGAGGGAGCUUCAAAAGCAUGCUCCAGUACUCUGCGUGGGUUUCCAGUGUACUUGUCCCAAGCCCUUACCUGACUUUGAAGCCUAGGGCAGUUGACUCAGCCGACUGCUACACCUGCCCCGUUCCUUCCAUUCCUUGAGGGAUGGUGCAGUCACACAAGCCUUUUUUCUGCCGCUUGAACCUCCCAGCCUUUGCAGGUGCUGUUCCUCUGGAGCAUCCUCCAGACAUCUCACCUGGUUGACUUCUAAGCAUCCAUUAGGUCUCAGCAUAGAAAAGCCACUCUCUCCAGGAAAUCAAGUCAUGUAUCUUCCCAACCCAGAAGGACCACUGGAACCACCAAGGACAUCCCUCUCCCUCUGCAAAGGCUCUCCUGGCUAAGAAAGUCACUCUGACCUGUUUCCUCCCUCCUUCCAGUGCCUUUGGAGCAAAUUUGGCCCUGCCCCCUGUGUGGCCGAGAUGCAUCUCUGCUCACAAUCUGGCUGUAAAGUUCCUUUGGGCACCUCUACUUUUACACUGAAUGGUCUUAGUUUUUGCUGGCAUUGCCCCAUUUUCCUGGGCAGAAAUCUUGGGGACCCAGAGCCCAGGGCUGGAUGGAAAAAGAAUAAGAAAAAAAAACCCUUUCAUAUCAGAGAGACAUUGAAGAUGGUCCGUUGUGAAGUGAAGGGAACUAACUGUCAGCUAAAAAAUAAUUUGGCUAAAUGACAGGCUCGCAUCACCUCCCUGUAGUCACCCCCAGGCACUUUCUCCUCCUUCUUCUUCCUGUUUUCCCCUCCUCUUCAUGAUACUUUCUUUUUCCUUCAUGUGGCUUGACUAGGAGACAUCAGUUUUUGCAACAUCAUUUUCAUGAAGAUCUACCUGGGAAAGAUUGGAGAUAAACUCAGCAGAGCUGACAGCAUAGCUCUGUUCACAGGAACCAAAGAAACCACUUUUCAAGUUGCAAAAAAAUGAUUAGAAAUUAGAACUCUAGUUACAGCUGGAGAUGGAAGGAGAGGUGACCUGGGGGGGUCGGGCUUCUCUCCAGCCUCAUCUCUCCAGUCUCCCCUCCCUUCCCUUCCCUAACCCAGUGCUUCACAUGGAACCUUGAAAGGUUAAUAAUCAUAACACAUAAUGUUUAUUGAGAGCAUAGUAUGUUCCAGAUGCUGAGCAGAGUACUAUAAACUAGACACCUUAUUCAGUCACUGCAUAUACCAAGUAUGUCUUCUCCUUCUUUGCUCCAUUCAUUGGGCAUUUACCGGUUGUUGGGCUGGAAAGCAGGCCAGCAUUUAUUGAGCAACUAUUGUGUGCUGAUGACCUCAGUUUAUUCCUUCAAGGAUCCGUUCUUACAGUCAAGGAAGUCAGGGCUCGUGGCUCAGGGCUGAGGUCCCACAGUACCUGCUCUGGGUCUCUUGGCCACCCAAGAGACCAACACAGCUGUCAUCCAUACCUCUUUCUCCAGUACAGAGGCUCCUAGUCUGCUCAGGGAACAGUAUUAUUGUAAUUGCUGCUACCGUUGUGAUUGUCAUAAAAUCCACACCCUAGCAAGACCAAUAGCAGCUACACAUCUUCUUAUAGCAGGCACAGUUACCGUCUGCUCCUAUGAUGACCUUUGACACAUACUAACUGUGUAAGGCAAGACUUGGCCCUUGCAUCAGCAAGGCUAAGGAUUUGUUCAGGGUACCAGUGAGCUGGGUCUGGCCCAUUGCCUUCACUGGGCUUGGACGCCAGGGUGUGUGGUGUCUAUGAGAGCCAGGAGGGCCAUGUCUGCAGGCGAGUAAGAAGCUGAGAAAACCUGACUGCAGAAGCAAGAAUGAGGCAGAAGAGCAGACGAGCCAAGAUGAGACCCACAAGAGGACAGGACGGACAGGGCUGCUGGGCUCCUUGUUUCAGACCUGAGUCAGAUCCAAGUCCAGUAAGUCCUGCAGGACCCCCAGGAACCAGUGCCCGCCCCACCCCC
This 2291-nucleotide long non-coding RNA is filed under the name Ovis aries (sheep). RNAcentral's name for it is "lncRNA (ENSOARG00000025860.1)". Lineage: Eukaryota; Metazoa; Chordata; Mammalia; Artiodactyla; Bovidae. The record is from RNAcentral.